This 71-nucleotide transfer RNA is filed under the name Camelus bactrianus (Bactrian camel). It matches the Rfam family "tRNA". Rfam says of the family: Transfer RNA (tRNA) molecules are approximately 80 nucleotides in length. RNAcentral also lists the same sequence under 2 other names. Lineage: Eukaryota; Metazoa; Chordata; Mammalia; Artiodactyla; Camelidae. The record is from Rfam by way of RNAcentral.
GUGGGUAUAUCUCAGUGGUAGAGCACAUGCUUAGCAUGCAUGAGGUCUAGGUUCAAUCCCCAGUAACUCCA